GUCAACUCUGUGAACUGCAACACCAGCUGGAAGAUCAACCUGUUUAUGCAGUUUCGGGACCACCUGGAGGAGGUGUUGAAAGGGGGAGACGUGGUGCGGCUGUUCCAUGCGGAGCAGGAGAAGUUCCUGACGUGUGACGAGUACAAGGGCAAGCUGCAGGUGUUCCUGCGAACCACACUGCGCCAGUCUGCCACCUCGGCCACCAGCUCCAAUGCUCUCUGGGA
This 224-nucleotide long non-coding RNA is filed under the name Pan troglodytes (chimpanzee). RNAcentral's name for it is "long non-coding RNA NONPTRT014596". Lineage: Eukaryota; Metazoa; Chordata; Mammalia; Primates; Hominidae. The record is from RNAcentral.